GAUGAAGAACGCAGCGAAAUGCGAUAAGUAAUGUGAAUUGCAGAAUUCAGUGAAUCAUCGAAUCUUUGAACGCACAUUGCGACCGUCAGUAUUCUGGCGGGCAUGCCUGUUCGAGCGUCAUUACGCCCCUCAAGUCCCCUGUGGACUUGGUGUUGGGGAUCGGCGAGGCUGGUUUUCCAGCACAGCCGUCCCUUAAAUUAAUUGGCGGUCUCGCCGUGGCCCUCCUCUGCGCAGUAGUAAAACACUCGCAACAGGAGCCCGGCGCGGUCCACUGCCGUAAAACCCCCCAACUUUUUAUAGUUGACCUCGAAUCAGGUAGGACUACCCGCUGAACUUAAGCAUAUCAAUAAGCGGAGGA
This 358-nucleotide unclassified non-coding RNA is filed under the name soil metagenome. Its description in RNAcentral is "partial contains 5.8S ribosomal RNA, internal transcribed spacer 2, and large subunit ribosomal RNA". The stretch from base 1 to 120 matches the Rfam family "5.8S ribosomal RNA", at positions 35 to 154 of the family's 154-position model. The record is from RNAcentral.